ACUGAUAAAUUAAAUCCGAAAACUAUUAAUACACUGAGCACUAUAUUGUGAAGAAAUGUAAUUACUUCUAGUAACCACUAGAUGGAAGUAAUGUUUUGUGUGCUGCCUGUCUUGGCCAGGACCUGCUUGUAAAAGAGUUUUAUUUCCUGGUUAAAUAACGGUCGAACAAAAGGAAUUGGAGAGCUUAACUAAAGAGCUACUGACUGAUGUCUGUUUACUAAAGUGUGUCAUCCUGAGAAACUAUUUCAACUAUCGCCCUGACACCGUUUCAAAGGGCUGGGUUGAGGCUACAAAACACCUGAGGGGAAACGUGAGAGUACAGUUGGAUUUCGGAAGCAGGGCAGGACGAAUGCACCGUCAUUCCAUCGUGAAGAGCUCUGAGACGAGCUCUGCUUCUUCAUUUCACAGGUGUGUCGUAAGAGGUCGUGAUCGGAAGGAACCAAAAGCAUUUUAACGAUCUCCUGAUAGCACUUGAACCGGUUACAGGUGAGUCCUAAAUGAUUUAAGACAUCUUCUGU
Long non-coding RNA from Carassius auratus (goldfish), 518 nucleotides. RefSeq lists it as uncharacterized. The transcript has 3 exons. NCBI's taxonomy places the organism in Eukaryota, Metazoa, Chordata, Actinopteri, Cypriniformes, Cyprinidae. The record is from RefSeq and is a predicted model, not a curated record.